GACGGAGGGUGCAAGCGUUGUUCGGAUUGACUGGGCGUAAAGGGCGUGUAGGCGGUUCGUUAAGUCGGGUGUGAAAGCCCGGGGCUCAGCUCCGGAAGUGCGUCCGAAACUGGCGAGCUGGAGCGCGGUAGAGGAGGGUGGAAUUCCUGGUGUAGCGGUGAAAUGCGUAGAUAUCAGGAGGAACACCGGCGGCGAAGGCGGCCCUCUGGACCGUUGCUGACGCUGAGACGCGAAAGCGUGGGGAGCAAACAGG
This 253-nucleotide ribosomal RNA is filed under the name uncultured bacterium. Its description in RNAcentral is "partial 16S ribosomal RNA". It matches the Rfam family "Bacterial small subunit ribosomal RNA", at positions 524 to 776 of the family's 1533-position model. The record is from RNAcentral. RNAcentral also lists the same sequence under 1 other name.